AUGAACGCUGGCGGCGUGCCUCAUCCAUGCAAGUCGAGCGAACAGACGAGGAGCUUGCUCCUCUGACGUUAGCGGCGGACGGGUGAGUAACACGUGGAUAACCUACCUAUAAGACUGGGAUAACUUCGGGAAACCGGAGCUAAUACCGGAUAAUAUAUUGAACCGCAUGGUUCAAUAGUGAAAGACGGUUUUGCUGUCACUUAUAGAUGGAUCCGCGCCGCAUUAGCUAGUUGGUAAGGUAACGGCUUACCAAGGCAACGAUGCGUAGCCGACCUGAGAGGGUGAUCGGCCACACUGGAACUGAGACACGGUCCAGACUCCUACGGGAGGCAGCAGUAGGGAAUCUUCCGCAAUGGGCGAAAGCCUGACGGAGCAACGCCGCGUGAGUGAUGAAGGUCUUCGGAUCGUAAAACUCUGUUAUUAGGGAAGAACAAAUGUGUAAGUAACUAUGCACGUCUUGACGGUACCUAAUCAGAAAGCCACGGCUAACUACGG
This 495-nucleotide ribosomal RNA is filed under the name uncultured bacterium. RNAcentral describes it as "partial 16S ribosomal RNA". It matches the Rfam family "Bacterial small subunit ribosomal RNA", at positions 29 to 506 of the family's 1533-position model. The record is from RNAcentral.